GCCUUCGUGGUGUAACGGUAGCACACUCGGCGCGUAUUCGAGAGGUCUAGGUUAGAGUCCCCGUGAGGGUA
RNAcentral lists this transfer RNA (71 nucleotides) under Stegodyphus mimosarum. It matches the Rfam family "tRNA". From Rfam's summary of the family: Transfer RNA (tRNA) molecules are approximately 80 nucleotides in length. Their secondary structure includes four short double-helical elements and three loops (D, anti-codon, and T loops). Further hydrogen bonds mediate the characteristic L-shaped molecular structure. tRNAs have two regions of fundamental functional importance: the anti-codon, which is responsible for specific mRNA codon recognition, and the 3' end, to which the tRNAs corresponding amino acid is attached (by aminoacyl-tRNA synthetases). tRNAs cope with the degeneracy of the genetic code in two manners: having more than one tRNA (with a specific anti-codon) for a particular amino acid; and 'wobble' base-pairing, i.e. permitting non-standard base-pairing at the 3rd anti-codon position. Lineage: Eukaryota; Metazoa; Arthropoda; Arachnida; Araneae; Eresidae. The record is from Rfam by way of RNAcentral.